RNAcentral lists this ribosomal RNA (214 nucleotides) under Sycotetra sp. 2248_06a. RNAcentral's name for it is "partial 28S ribosomal RNA". It matches the Rfam family "Eukaryotic large subunit ribosomal RNA", at positions 967 to 1163 of the family's 3401-position model. Lineage: Eukaryota; Metazoa; Arthropoda; Insecta; Hymenoptera; Epichrysomallidae. The record is from RNAcentral.
UUUCCCUCAGGAUAGCUGGCACUCGCUUGAGCGAGUCUCAUCUGGUAAAGCGAAUGAUUAGAGGCCUUGGGGCCGAAACGACCUCAACCUAUUCUCAAACUUUAAAUGGGUGAGAUCUCUGGCUUGCUUGAACAUAUUGAAGCCAUGAGAUUAUCUGUAAUGGAUCAGAGUGCCAAGUGGGCCAAUUUUGGUAAGCAGAACUGGCGCUGUGGGA